GGCAUUUUGAUUCACAUCCUGUUACUCCAAGGGAUAAUUUUGCAUAUGAUUGAUGAUCCUCAACAAUGUGUUUUGUCUCACAUUGGUCUAUCUCAUGCACCUUAAUUUUACUUUCCAAUAUAUUACUGUUGGUAGACCACUUUCUUAGCUUGAACCCCCCUUGUGCCAUUCUGCUCAUAGUCUUCUCAUAUAACUGAAAUGCUUUAUCUACCGUACUUUCCCCACUAACUAAAUCGUCUACAUAGAAACUUUCUAGCACCUUCUUCACAAACUCAGGAUCUGUUGAAAGAUACUUUGAGACAUGAUGCCUUAAUGUUGCAUUGAGUAAGAAUGGAGAUGGAUUCAAUCCAAAUACUACUCUACAAAACCUAUAAACAACUGUUUACCACCUAUCACUCUCAAUAUCAUUUACCCACAAAAACCUCAAACAGUCUCGAUCUGCCUCAUCAACCUCCACAUUCAAAAAAGCCUUUUCAAUAUCGCCUACUAAAGCAAUCCUGUUUUCUCUAAACCGCAUCAAUAUGCUAUAUAGUAAUGGAUUGAGGGAUGGCCCAACAUGCAAGCAGUCAUUAAGUGAUGUUCCUGAUUUACAUUCUUUAGAGGAAGCAUCAUAAACAACCCGAACCUUUGUGGUCACUGCAUCUUUGCGGAUGACCGCCUGGUGUGGUAAAUAAUAAACUUUAUCAACUUUCUCUAAUGCUACUAACGGUUCUACAACCCCUUGCUCUACCUGUUCUCUGAUGAUAGAAUCAUACUCUGUCAACAAUGCUGGCUCCUUCUUCAGUCGUCGUAACUGAUUCUUCAUUCUACUUAAGCUAUUUGCAUAAUUGUCAGGCAAUUUGUCGAGACUUUCCUUCCAGGGUAGUUUCACAGAAUAUCUACUACCUGUGAAAGAUAUGCCAUCUAAAAACUCCUCAUGAACCUUAUCUUCCUCACAGAUACCUAACCCUUCAAAACUCCACAGCUUCUGUACAUUACUCUCCAAACUAUCUUCACUAUUCAUUCUCUGAGCUACAAAAUUUACUUGGGCUAACUCUGCUCCCUCUAUAUCUUGCACUCUCAAAGGCCCUGAUAAAACCCAUCCUAACUCAGUUUCUAUGGCAACUGGCUCUCCUGAUUUACCUCUCUUGGUUACACCUGUCUGAAAAUUCCAGAGGUAAUCUGCCCCUAUCAACACAUCUAUCUCUAGCUCACCCUGGCACUUCGAGACAUCUGAAAACCAUAUAUACCUUUCAAAUGUGGGUAUUCUCUUCUUGCUAGUUCUACAUGGCUAUUCUGUAUCCUACAAAUUUCUGGCACUACAAAUGCUUCUAAGCAGUUAACCUUAUUCCCGUUAACCGGUUCAAGCUUUAAUUCGACCACCUCCCUGUGCUCGGCAUUGGUACAUUUUUGACCGAACGUAUUAAUCCCUAACAAUUCCCUUCUUAAGAGAGGAUGUCCACAAAAAUCAAACAUAAGGCGGCCACGACGGAAAAAUCGAUUUUGCUCAAAUUUUGCCCAGAUAUACCUUAUUAUAUCGGAAAAUGCACCACAUAAUUUUUUAGGUCAAAUGCUUUUUUAACUUUGAGAAAAUGCCGUUUUAACACGACCACCCUAA
Non-coding RNA from Paramuricea clavata, 1597 nucleotides. NCBI's taxonomy places the organism in Eukaryota, Metazoa, Cnidaria, Anthozoa, Malacalcyonacea, Plexauridae. The record is from the annotation of a GenBank genome assembly.